UACAGAGGUCUCAAGCGUUGUUCGGAUUCAUUGGGCGUAAAGGGCGCGUAGGCGGCGGGGUAAGUCGGGUGUGAAAUCCCAGAGCUCAACUCUGAAACUGCACUCGAUACUGCUCUGCUUGAGGACUGGAGAGGAGACUGGAAUUCACGGCGUAGCAGUGAAAUGCGUAGAUAUCGUGAGGAAGACCAGUGGCGAAGGCGGGUCUCUGGACAGUUCCUGACGCUGAGGCGCGAAGGCCAGGGGAGCAAACGGG
This 253-nucleotide ribosomal RNA is filed under the name uncultured bacterium. RNAcentral describes it as "partial 16S ribosomal RNA". It matches the Rfam family "Bacterial small subunit ribosomal RNA", at positions 524 to 776 of the family's 1533-position model. The record is from RNAcentral.